RNAcentral lists this long non-coding RNA (2208 nucleotides) under Capra hircus (goat). RNAcentral describes it as "lncRNA (ENSCHIG00010014251.1)". The record is from RNAcentral. Lineage: Eukaryota; Metazoa; Chordata; Mammalia; Artiodactyla; Bovidae.
CAAGACAGUGUGAUUGCACAAGAGAUUUUUAGAAGCCAAGCCUGGAAUUGGCAUAAACCAUUUCCACUCACAUUCCAUUAUCUGUAUGAUAUAUAGUCACAUGACACAUGCCUCUAACUUCUAAAUACACGGGAAACUGAAAAAUCUACCUUUCUUGUCUGUCCAAGAAGAUGGAAGCAAGUUGCUAUCUGGCCAGCCUCUCCUCUUUCAUAAUCCGUCUGGUCACCAAAUAUCCAUUUUGAUCUUCCUCCCACACACAGACCACACCUAUCCACUCCCCAGAAGUUCAACACCAAAUCCUCACCAGUUACAGAUUUCAGAUCCAAAAUUUCAGGUGAUGUUCAAUACACCAUCAAGUCUGCAAAAGAUUCCUUAUUCACUGAUGCCGAAUUGACUAAAACAACCUGUUUUCUGCUCCUCCUUUUCCCACAUUUACUCAUUACUCAGUAUAUUCAGUGGUGGAACGGGGACAGGAUUAACUUCNGACUAAAACAACCUGUUUUCUGCUCCUCCUUUUCCCACAUUUACUCAUUAAUCAGUAUAUUCAGUGGUGGAAUGGGGACAGGAUUAACUUCAAUAAACACCCCAACCAGAAAGAGGAGAAAUGGGAUACAUAUGGUUGUCACUGGACAGACAUUCUACUGGCCACCUGUUCUGUGUUCUGGGGUGGGGAAGAGUUUAUUGAUUUAAUCUGGAUUCUGUUCUCUAUGAGGAACCCCCUCAUCCACAGUUCUCCUUGGUCCUUGCCUCUGCCCUCCGGGAGGAUAUCCAUCUAAAGUGGAUAUAUUGAGGAGCAUGCCCUCUGUGAAGGCUCUUAAAUAACUGAAGCUAUAUUCCACUCAUGAAAAUUCUGGGUUCCAGUGUUUCUAAACUAGGAUUGAGUUUUGGGUGGGAAUUAAUUCCCUCAAAUAUUCAGUUGACUUCUAAUCACAUUGCUUCCUGUAAGUUCCAUGUUCUGCACACCAGUAACCACACCCCAAGUUAUUUUCUAGACACAGUACAAUGUGGCAUUUUAAAAAGACUAUGAAGGAAAAAAAAAAAGCCCAGUAAAAUUUCUUUGUUGAAUGAAAUGACUCAGGGGGAAAAUCAAAUUAAGGGUGUGGUCCUCCCAUUCAAGCCAGUCAACUUCAAGAUAGCCAACACUAAAUUGAGAGAAGAAGUAAGGCGUACUGACAAGAAACCAAAUAAAUAAGGCCAGCAAGAGAUUUAAUUAACUCAAGCUGCUUUAACAAAUUCUCUUUCACCUAAAUUGCCUCCGUUCCUUUUUUCAGAUUUGUUUUGUGGGGACACACGUCUCUUCAAUACCCUUACAAACAUACCAGUUAGAUUUUUUUUAUUCACAUGGCAAAAGUUAUUAAAUACACAGCUGCUAUUCUUGGUUUGAGAAAUUCAGGUGUGUCAAGGGUAGCAUGUCUGUGAAUCUUUUGCUUUGUCCUGUCAAGAACAUCAUUAUUCAUGGACGGAAUGAGGAGGAGGUGUGAUAUCAGUAAUACGUCCCCUUUAGCAGGAAAUUAUUUAACAUUGCCAGCUGGUAUUUAUCAUUCUGCCUGUGUUCUACACAGUUUAAGGGGGGCAGUACUUUUAAAUGUCUAAGCUUAAAUUAAGUAAAAUGGACCUAUUAAUUAAAACAUCAGAAUCAGAACAAAAAAUACAUAGCAUUUAAUAUUUAAUAAAAUCUUAUAGCUUGGAAAAUGUUAAACAAAUUGAAUGUUACACAAAUUGCCUUAUGUUACAAUAUGGAAAAGUGGAAAUAAUUUGUAAAUUAGAAAACUUUUACAAAUUAAUUUUUAUCUUCUGUGAGAUAUUGAAAUAGACUGAAAAAAAUUUAAAUACCAAAAAUAAAGUCACUUAUAAUGACUUUGAUAAACAAUGCUGAUUCAGUUCUUUUAGCUAUGGGUAAGAUAAACAUGGGUAACAACUUAAUCUUGAUAUAUAAGGAAAGGGCUUCCCCAGGGGCUUAGUGGUAAAGAACCCACCUACAAUGCAGGAGACAUGGCAGGGGCCACGGGUUCAAUUCCUGGGUUGGGAAGAUCCCUUGGACAAGGAAAUGGCAACCCACUCCAGUGAAAAACCCCAUGGCUAGCUCACGGGGUUGCAAAAGAAACAGACACAACUUAGCAACUAAGCAUAAGGGAAGGAAGAGAGGCGGGGUCUAGUUUCCUUGAUAACUGCAUCUGGCUAACCAGAUUUGCAUGGGUAACCACAUUC